This is an RNA transcript of Nycticebus coucang (slow loris), 3690 nucleotides long. It is a transcript of the gene named hydroxysteroid 17-beta dehydrogenase 7, with no coding region annotated. Lineage: Eukaryota; Metazoa; Chordata; Mammalia; Primates; Lorisidae. The transcript is spliced from 10 exons. The record is from RefSeq and is a predicted model, not a curated record.
UCGGAGUCGAUGACGCAAAGGGAGAAGGGGCCUGACGGUGCUCUGAUUGGUGGGGGUGCGCGAGAGCACGGCCGGGGCCGAGACCCUGGGAUUAGGGUCUUCUGAGAGCCGUGGUGAGUGCCGGCUUUACCGCCUGGCCUUGCGGGUUUGCGAAGAUGCGGAAGGUGGUUUUGAUCACCGGAGCGAGCAGUGGCAUCGGCCUGGCCCUCUGUAAGCGGCUGCUGGUGGAAAACGAUGAGCUUCAUCUGUGUUUGGCGUGCAGGAAUGUGAGCAAAGCGGAAGGUGUCCGAGCAAGUCUGCUGGCCUCUCAUCCCACUGCUGAGGUCACUGUCGUGCAGGUGGAUGUCAGCAACUUGCAGUCAGUAUUCCGGGCCUCCAGUGAACUUAAGCAAAGGUUUCAGAGACUGGACUUUGUAUAUCUAAAUGCUGGGAUCAUGCCUAAUCCACAACUAAAUCUCAGAGCACUUUUCUCUGGCCUCUUUUCAAGAAAAGUGAUUCAUAUGUUCUCCACAGCUGAAGGACUGCUGACCCAGGACAACAACGUCACUGCUGAUGGGCUCCAGGAGGUGUUUGAAACUAACGUCUUUGGCCACUUUAUCCUGAUUCGGGAACUGGAGCCUCUCCUGUGUCACAGUGACCACCCAUCUCAGCUCAUCUGGACAUCAUCUCGCAAUGCAAGGAAAUCUAAUUUCAGCCUUGAGGACUUUCAGCACAGCAAAGGCCAAGAACCCUAUAGCUCUUCCAAAUAUGCCACUGACCUUCUGAAUGUGGCCUUGAACAGGAACUUCAACCAGCGGGGUCUGUAUUCCAGUGUGGUAUGCCCAGGUACAGUAUUGACCAAUCUGACAUUUGGAAUUCUACCUCCUUUUGUGUGGACGCUGUUGAUACCCAUCAUAUGGCUGCUUCGCUUUUUUGCAAAUGCUUUCACUUUGACACCAUAUAAUGGAACAGAAGCGCUGGUAUGGCUUUUCCGCCAAAAGCCUGAGUCUCUUAAUCCUUUGACCAAGUAUAUGAGUGCCACCACUGGCUUUGGAAGCAAUUAUGUAAUGGCCCAGAAGAUGGAUCUAGAUGAAGACACUGCUGAAAAAUUUUACCAAAACUUACUGGAACUGGAAAAGCAGGUUAGGAUCACCAUGAACGCAGUCCCUGGUGCUAAAAAGGUUCGGGACAAAUGACAUCAAACAUGGCUAUCACUGACUACCUUGCAGAAUGUGAGAUUAUGUCCUGAGAAGAAGCAGAAAUUGAGUCAGAUUUGAAGCGACAGCAGAUACUCUCCUGUGGACUGUGAAGGACCUUUAGAAGCUAAGGAUGCUACCUCCUGCCAGCUGAUAAACAGCAAGAAAAUGGGGACCUCGGACCUACCAUGGCAGGAGCUGGUUUCUACUAAGUGCCUGUGUGAACUUGGAACCAAAUUCCACCUACAGCCUCCACGGCUUUGGUGUUAGUGGUAUGAAACCGGAGCCCAGAAACCAGUUGGACUUUGCUGGGCUUCUGACCUAUGUAACUGAGAGAUAAUAAGUAAAAUGCUAAAUUUGUUAUAAUUUGUUACAGCAGCAAUACAAUUCCUUACACUAAAAGAAAUUCCAUAUGUAUAAAUGAUGAAUCAACAUUAUUAAAAAAUUUGUAUGGAUAAUAAAUUAUUACAAAUAAAAAUCAAAAUACAAACUGGGAAAGAUACUUGUCAUCCAUAUGCAAGCCAAUUGGGAAAUUAACCCAAUAUUUACAGAAUAUGCACAGUCAAUAGUAAAGUUUAAAGAUGCUUAAUCUAACCCACAAUAAAGUGAAAUCAAACUAAAAGUAAGUGAGUUUUCAUCUUUUGCUUUUCAUGUUAGCAAACAUCAAAAGGUUUUGUCCUGUGUGUGAAAGAACAAGGACUAUCAUUUAGUAUUGUUUGUGAUACGAAUCAUUUAUUCCUUUGAAUAACAAUUUUGACUAGCAAAAUUUAAAAUGCAUAUACUUUUAGCAAUUCUACUUUUUGAAGUGGUAUCCUAAAGGUACAAAGCAUAAAUAUGUACAACGAUAUAUACACCAACACUUAUACAAAACCCUUAGUGCUGAAUGUGCUUCAGAACUGAAAGUUGCCUGGAUUUUAGAAAGCGCAGUUGGUAGAUACAAUACAGUCGGGGGAGCUGGGAUAACAAUUUGUAAUCAAAUCCAGUUAUAUGUCAGCAAAAAUGACACAGGAAUUCACUUUAAGUAGUAUAAAGAAAGACUAUGAAUAGCCUCACGUCAGUUCAGCUACGGUUUGACUGCCAGAUGAGCAUGCCAAAAAAGUGAAAUGACUUUCAGAUUUCUUAGCUGUUUGGACUUUGCAAUUGCAGAUGAAGGGUUUUUAGAUAUGUUCAAGGAUAUUCACUGUAGCAUUUUUGUUCUAUGACAGCAAAAGAGUAGAAAGAACAUAAACAGCUUUAACCUCUGGGAUGAAGUAUUAUGUCAUAUCCAUAAAAUGCAAUAAAAAGUAUUCCAAGUAAUAAAAAGAGUGAAGUUAAAAAAAUAAGGUAUAUAUGGAUUGUGGAUGAAGUAUAAUAAAAACAAGAUGCUGUUAACUGUACGUUUUGUUUUCAUUUCUAUUAUAUACACACACAAUACACAGUCUACAUACACAGAGAAUCUGUGAAAAGAACCAUAAGAAACCUGGGGUUUGUAACAUUGACAGUGACAGUAGUUGCUCUGGGGCGAUCAACUAGCCAGGAGGCUAUUUGGGCUUUUCAUUGCGUUCUUACUGUGGUGAAUUUUGGAGUUAGUAUCUUUUAUUUUAUUCUAUAUUUAAUUGUUAAUGUAAUAACUAAAAAAACCUCAAGGAUAUUAAAUGGUGGGUUCAGAUUAAGUUCUGUCUUCAGGCCUCCUACACUAGUGUUGCCAUCUUCCCCUAUGGUGGAUAUUUGGAAAAGUGGCCCUGAGAAACAGAAAAAGAGAAAAAAAAUAGACAUCUUUCACAGAGGUCCUGUUUUAAGGUAUAGGUAGUGUAAGUGGAUGACCUCGUCUAGGCCAUAAACACACACUAUACAGUGAUGGUACUUACAGUUCUGUAUCAAAACCCAGAUUAUUUUCUGCUUCAGCCUGUAAACAAAGAUAAAUGAAGAAGACUUAUAUCUGACUGCAAUUAGGAGUGUGAUGGUGAAGGAAGGAAAGGAGACGAAACGCAGGAUUGUGCACCCCCAAACGAUACAGUGCCUCCAUUUUUACAGUCAAAAUGAAAUGAAAGGACUAAUGGAAUAAUUACCCAGUCUUGGCCCUUAUACCAAAUAUUCUGGAGCAGCUCCGGUGCGUGGCGCAGGAUGUGUGUGCAAGUGCAGAGGGGAACCGCGCGGAACCGUGCCGAGUCUAGGACGACAGGUGGCGCUUCUUGGCCAGCAGAGGUCCCCUCAGCCUGUGGCUGCUUGACCCGCUGGCAGCCCCCGGGGCUCAGGCGUGGGUUGGGGGGCGGGGUGUGAUGCCGGAGUCACAGGAGCGGUGGAGGCCUGGGAAAACCAGGAAACCGCUGCGGUCUCUGCUGCUUGGGUGCUCGGUUUCCAUGACUACCACCCUGAAGGUGAUUUUGGUCAUCUUCAUCAGCAGCAGGUGAGCAGGUGAGUGCCCCUCUGCAGAACGCCACACACUGAGUGUGGGACCCACGCCUUGGAGGCCCCGUGAUGUGCCUUUUGUAGGGGCCCGAGGUGCAUUCUGAUUGCCACCCGGCCUGCCGCGCCC